UGGGGGAUAUUGCGCAAUGGGGGGAACCCUGACGCAGCAACGCCGCGUGAAGGAAGAAGGUCUUCGGAUCGUAAACUUCUGUCUUCAGGGACGAAUAAUGACGGUACCUGAGGAGGAAGCCACGGCUAACUACGUGCCAGCAGCCGCGGUAAUACGUAGGUGGCAAGCGUUAUCCGGAAUUACUGGGUGUAAAGGGAGCGCAGGCGGGAUAGCAAGUCAGCUGUGAAAACUAUGGGCUCAACCCAUAAACUGCAGUUGAAACUGUUAUUCUUGAGUAGAGUAGAGGCAAGCGGAAUUCCGAGUGUAGCGGUGAAAUGCGUAGAUAUUCGGAGGAACACCAGUGGCGAAGGCGGCUUGCUGGGCUCUAACUGACGCUGAGGCUCGAAAGUGUGGGGAGCAAACAGGAUUAGAUACCCUGGUAGU
RNAcentral lists this ribosomal RNA (423 nucleotides) under uncultured Eubacterium sp. RNAcentral's name for it is "bacterial SSU rRNA". It matches the Rfam family "Bacterial small subunit ribosomal RNA", at positions 355 to 794 of the family's 1533-position model. Lineage: Bacteria; Bacillati; Bacillota; Clostridia; Eubacteriales; Eubacteriaceae. The record is from RNAcentral.